RNAcentral lists this ribosomal RNA (484 nucleotides) under uncultured bacterium. RNAcentral describes it as "partial 16S ribosomal RNA". It matches the Rfam family "Bacterial small subunit ribosomal RNA", at positions 30 to 507 of the family's 1533-position model. The record is from RNAcentral.
AUUGAACGCUGGCGGCAGGCCUAACACAUGCAAGUCGAGCGGAUGAAGGGAGCUUGCUCCUGGAUUCAGCGGCGGACGUGUGAGUAAUGCCUAGGAAUCUGCCUGGUAGUGGGGGAUAACGUCCGGAAACGGGCGCUAAUACCGCAUACGUCCUGAGGGAGAAAGUGGGGGAUCUUCGGACCUCACGCUAUCAGAUGAGCCUAGGUCGGAUUAGCUAGUUGGUGGGGUAAAGGCCUACCAAGGCGACGAUCCGUAACUGGUCUUAGAGGAUGAUCAGUCACACUGGAACUGAGACACGGUCCAGACUCAUACGGGAGGCAGCAGUGGGGAAUAUUGGACAAUAGGCGAAAGCAUGAUCCAGCCAUGCCGCGUGUGUGAAGAAGGUCUUCGGAUUGUAAAGCACUUUAAGUUGGGAGGAAGGGCAGUAAGUUAAUACCUUGCUGUUUUGACGUUACCAACAGAAUAAGCACCGGCUAACUUCGUG